UUCAGAUCGCAGUCUGCAACCCGACUGCGUGAAGUCGGAAUCGCUAGUAAUCGCGGAUCAGCAUGCCGCGGUGAAUACGUUCCCGGGCCUUGUACACACCGCCCGUCACACCAUGAGAGUCGGGAACACCCGAAGUCCGUAGCCUAACCGCAAGGGGGGCGCGGCCGAAGGUGGGUUCGAUAAUUGGGGUGAAGUCGUAACAAGGUAGC
This 209-nucleotide ribosomal RNA is filed under the name uncultured bacterium. RNAcentral describes it as "partial 16S ribosomal RNA". It matches the Rfam family "Bacterial small subunit ribosomal RNA", at positions 1292 to 1500 of the family's 1533-position model. The record is from RNAcentral.